UAAAUACUAAUACCAGAUCGAUAGUGCACAAGUACCGUGAGGGAAAGGUGAAAAGAACUGAGGUGAUCAGAGUGAAAUAGAACCUGAAACCAUUUGCUUACAAUCAUUCAGAGCCCUAUGUAGCAAUACAGGGUGAUGGACUGCCUUUUGCAUAAUGAGCCUGCGAGUUGUGGUGUCUGGCAAGGUUAAGCAAACGCGAAGCCGUAGCGAAAGCGAGUCUGAAUAGGGCGCUUAGUCAGAUGCUGCAGACCCGAAACGAAGUGAUCUAUCCAUGAGCAAGUUGAAGCUAGUGUAAGAACUAGUGGAGGACUGAACCCAUAGGCGUUGAAAAGCCCCGGGAUGACUUGUGGAUAGGGGUGAAAGGCCAAUCAAACUUCGUGAUAGCUGGUUCUCUCCGAAAUAUAUUUAGGUAUAGCGUUGUGUCGUAAUAUAAGGGGGUAGAGCACUGAAUGGGCUAGGGCAUACACCAAUGUACCAAACCCUAUCAAACUCCGAAUACCUUAUAUGUAAUCACAGCAGUCAGGCGGCGAGUGAUAAAAUCCGUCGUCAAGAGGGAAACAACCCAGACUACCAGCUAAGGUCCCUAAAUCUUACUUAAGUGGAAAACGAUGUGAAGUUACUUAAACAACCAGGAGGUUGGCUUAGAAGCAGCCAUCCUUUAAAGAAAGCGUAAUAGCUCACUGGUCUAGUGAUUUUGCGCGGAAAAUAUAACGGGGCUAAAGUAAGUACCGAAGCUGUAGACUUAGUUUAGUAAGUGGUAGGAGAGCGUUCUAUUUGCGUCGAAGGUAUACCGGUAAGGAGUGCUGGAGCGAAUAGAAGUGAGCAUGCAGGCAUGAGUAGCGAUAAUUAAUGUGAGAAUCAUUAACGCCGUAAACCCAAGGUUUCCUACGCGAUGCUCGUCAUCGUAGGGUUAGUCGGGUCCUAAGUCGAGUCCGAAAGGGGUAGACGAUGGCAAAUUGGUUAAUAUUCCAAUACCAACAUUAGUGUGCGAUGGAAGGACGCUUAGGGCUAAGGGGGCUAGCGGAUGGAAGUGCUAGUCUAAGGUCGUAGGAGGUUAUACAGGCAAAUCCGUAUAACAAUACUCCGAGAACUGAAAGGCUUUUUGAAGUCUUCGGAUGGAUAGAAGAACCCCUGAUGCCGUCGAGCCAAGAAAAGUUUCUAAGUUUAGCUAAUGUUGCCCGUACCGUAAACCGACACAGGUGGGUGGGAUGAGUAUUCUAAGGCGCGUGGAAGAACUCUCUUUAAGGAACUCUGCAAAAUAGCACCGUAUCUUCGGUAUAAGGUGUGGUUAGCUUUGUAUUAGGAUUUACUCCGAAAGCAAGGAAACUUACAACAAAGAGUCCCUCCCGACUGUUUACCAAAAACACAGCACUCUGCUAACUCGUAAGAGGAUGUAUAGGGUGUGACGCCUGCCCGGUGCUCGAAGGUUAAUUGAUGGGGUUAGCAUUAGCGAAGCUCUUGAUCGAAGCCCGAGUAAACGGCGGCCGUAACUAUAACGGUCCUAAGGUAGCGAAAUUCCUUGUCGGUUAAAUACCGACCUGCAUGAAUGGCGUAACGAGAUGGGAGCUGUCUCAAAGAGGGAUCCAGUGAAAUUGUAGUGGAGGUGAAAAUUCCUCCUACCCGCGGCAAGACGGAAAGACCCCGUGGACCUUUACUACAGCUUGACACUGCUACUUGGAUAAGAAUGUGCAGGAUAGGUGGGAGGCUUUGAGUAUAUGACGCCAGUUGUAUAUGAGCCAUUGUUGAGAUACCACUCUUUCUUAUUUGGGUAGCUAACCAGCUUGAGUUAUCCUCAAGUGGGACAAUGUCUGGUGGGUAGUUUGACUGGGGCGGUCGCCUCCCAAAUAAUAACGGAGGCUUACAAAGGUUGGCUCAGAACGGUUGGAAAUCGUUCGUAGAGUAUAAAGGUAUAAGCCAGCUUAACUGCAAGACAUACAAGUCAAGCAGAGACGAAAGUCGGUCUUAGUGAUCCGGUGGUUCUGUGUGGAAGGGCCAUCGCUCAAAGGAUAAAAGGUACCCCGGGGAUAACAGGCUGAUCUCCCCCAAGAGCUCACAUCGACGGGGAGGUUUGGCACCUCGAUGUCGGCUCAUCGCAUCCUGGGGCUGGAGCAGGUCCCAAGGGUAUGGCUGUUCGCCAUUUAAAGCGGUACGCGAGCUGGGUUCAGAACGUCGUGAGACAGUUCGGUCCCUAUCUGCCGUGGGCGUAAGAAGAUUGAAGAGAUUUGACCCUAGUACGAGAGGACCGGGUUGAACAAACCACUGGUGUAGCUGUUGUUCUGCCAAGAGCAUCGCAGCGUAGCUAAGUUUGGAAAGGAUAAACGCUGAAAGCAUCUAAGCGUGAAGCCAACUCUAAGAUGAAUCUUCUCUAAGCUCUCUAGAAGACUACUAGUUUGAUAGGCUGGGUGUGUAAUGGAUGAAAGUCCUUUAGCUGACCAGUACUAAUAGAGCGUUUGGCUUAUCUUUAAUAAAGCAU
Molecule: ribosomal RNA, 2473 nt
Filed under: Campylobacter jejuni
Lineage: Bacteria; Pseudomonadati; Campylobacterota; Epsilonproteobacteria; Campylobacterales; Campylobacteraceae
Description: partial 23S ribosomal RNA
Rfam family: Bacterial large subunit ribosomal RNA
Source: RNAcentral